GGUGUAGCGCAGUUGGUUAGAGCGCCAGAUUGUGGAUCUGGAGGUCGUGGGUUCAAGUCCCAUUAUC
RNAcentral lists this transfer RNA (67 nucleotides) under bovine gut metagenome. It matches the Rfam family "tRNA". From Rfam's summary of the family: Transfer RNA (tRNA) molecules are approximately 80 nucleotides in length. Their secondary structure includes four short double-helical elements and three loops (D, anti-codon, and T loops). The record is from RNAcentral.